RNAcentral lists this transfer RNA (85 nucleotides) under Gelatoporia subvermispora B. It matches the Rfam family "tRNA". Rfam says of the family: Transfer RNA (tRNA) molecules are approximately 80 nucleotides in length. Their secondary structure includes four short double-helical elements and three loops (D, anti-codon, and T loops). Further hydrogen bonds mediate the characteristic L-shaped molecular structure. tRNAs have two regions of fundamental functional importance: the anti-codon, which is responsible for specific mRNA codon recognition, and the 3' end, to which the tRNAs corresponding amino acid is attached (by aminoacyl-tRNA synthetases). tRNAs cope with the degeneracy of the genetic code in two manners: having more than one tRNA (with a specific anti-codon) for a particular amino acid; and 'wobble' base-pairing, i.e. permitting non-standard base-pairing at the 3rd anti-codon position. The record is from Rfam by way of RNAcentral. Lineage: Eukaryota; Fungi; Basidiomycota; Agaricomycetes; Polyporales; Gelatoporiaceae.
GGCCUGAUGGUCUAGUAGUAUGAUUCCUUCUUAGGGCGCAUUUGCAAUUUGGAGGAGGUCCCGGGUUCAAUUCCCGGUUAGGCCC